UACAGAGGUCCCAAGCGUUGUUCGGAUUCACUGGCGUAAAGGGUGCGCAGGUGGCAUGACAAGUUCGAUGUGAAAGCCCCGGGCUCAACCCGGGAAGUGCACUCGAUACUGUCGAGCUAGAGUAUCGGAGAGGUUGGUGGAAUUCUCGGUGUAGAGGUGAAAUUCGUAGAUAUCGAGAGGAACACCGGUGGCGAAGGCGGCCAACUGGACGAAUACUGACGCUGAGACUCGAAAGCGUGGGGAGCAAACAGG
This 252-nucleotide ribosomal RNA is filed under the name uncultured bacterium. Its description in RNAcentral is "partial 16S ribosomal RNA". It matches the Rfam family "Bacterial small subunit ribosomal RNA", at positions 524 to 776 of the family's 1533-position model. The record is from RNAcentral.